RNAcentral lists this ribosomal RNA (495 nucleotides) under uncultured bacterium. Its description in RNAcentral is "partial 16S ribosomal RNA". It matches the Rfam family "Bacterial small subunit ribosomal RNA", at positions 28 to 507 of the family's 1533-position model. The record is from RNAcentral.
GACGAACGCUGGCGGCGUGCCUAAUACAUGCAAGUAGAACGCUGAAGGAGGAGCUUGCUUCUCUGGAUGAGUUGCGAACGGGUGAGUAACGCGUAGGUAACCUGCCUGGUAGCGGGGGAUAACUAUUGGAAACGAUAGCUAAUACCGCAUAAGAGUAGAUGUUGCAUGACAUUUGCUUAAAAGGUGCAAUUGCAUCACUACCAGAUGGACCUGCGUUGUAUUAGCUAGUUGGUGGGGUAACGGCUUACCAAGGCGACGAUACAUAGCCGACCUGAGAGGGUGAUCGGCCACACUGGGACUGAGACACGGCCCAGACUCCUACGGGAGGCAGCAGUAGGGAAUCUUCGGCAAUGGACGGAAGUCUGACCGAGCAACGCCGCGUGAGUGAAGAAGGUUUUCGGAUCGUAAAGCUCUGUUGUAAGAGAAGAACGAGUGUGAGGGUGGAAAGUUCACACUGUGACGGUAUCUUACCAGAAAGGGACGGCUAACUACGUG